AGAAUCAACGCUGGCGGCGUGCCUAACACAUGCAAGUCGCACGAGAAAGGGACUUCGGUCCCGAGUACAGUGGCGCACGGGUGAGUAACACGUGAAUAAUCUACCUCCGAGUGGGGAAUAACUGAGAGAAAUCUUAGCUAAUACCGCAUAACACUUACGAGUCAAAGCAGCAAUGCGCUUGGAGAGGAGUUCGCGGCAGAUUAGUUAGUUGGCGGGGUAAUGGCCCACCAAGACGAUGAUCUGUAUCCGGCCUGAGAGGGCGCACGGACACACUGGAACUGAAACACGGUCCAGACUCCUACGGGAGGCAGCAGUGGGGAAUUUUGCGCAAUGGGGGAAACCCUGACGCAGCAACGCCGCGUGGAGGAUGAAAUAUCUUGGUAUGUAAACUCCUUUCGAUGGGGAAGAUAAUGACGGUACCCAUAGAAGAAGCCCGGCUAACUUCGCGCCAGCAGCCGC
RNAcentral lists this ribosomal RNA (459 nucleotides) under uncultured bacterium. RNAcentral's name for it is "SSU rRNA". It matches the Rfam family "Bacterial small subunit ribosomal RNA", at positions 26 to 518 of the family's 1533-position model. The record is from RNAcentral.